RNAcentral lists this ribosomal RNA (253 nucleotides) under uncultured bacterium. Its description in RNAcentral is "partial 16S ribosomal RNA". It matches the Rfam family "Bacterial small subunit ribosomal RNA", at positions 524 to 776 of the family's 1533-position model. The record is from RNAcentral.
UACGUAGGGUGCAAGCGUUACUCGGAAUUACUGGGCGUAAAGCGUACGCAGGCGGCUGUGUAAGACAGGUGUGAAAUCCCCGGGCCUAACCUGGGAACUGCAUUUGUGACUGCAUAGCUAGAGUCUGUCAGAGGGGGGUGGAAUUCCACGUGUAGCAGUGAAAUGCGUAGAGAUGCGGAGGAACACCGAUGGCGAAGGCAGCCCCCUGGGCCGACAUUGACGCUCAGGCACGAAAGCGUGGGGAGCAAACAGG